This 164-nucleotide ribosomal RNA is filed under the name Peltaster sp. (in: ascomycete fungi). RNAcentral's name for it is "Peltaster sp. (in: Dothideomycetes) partial large subunit ribosomal RNA". It matches the Rfam family "Eukaryotic large subunit ribosomal RNA", at positions 99 to 261 of the family's 3401-position model. The record is from RNAcentral. Lineage: Eukaryota; Fungi; Ascomycota; Dothideomycetes.
CGGCAACAGCUCAAAUUUGAAAUCUAACGUCUUUGGCGUUCGAGUUGUAAUUUGUAGAGGAUGCUUCUGGGAGGUCAUCGGUUUAAGUUCCUUGGAACAGGACGUCAUAGAGGGUGAGAAUCCCGUGUGUGACCGACCGACACCCUAUACGUAGCUCCUUCGAA